This 450-nucleotide ribosomal RNA is filed under the name uncultured bacterium. Its description in RNAcentral is "partial 16S ribosomal RNA". It matches the Rfam family "Bacterial small subunit ribosomal RNA", at positions 354 to 796 of the family's 1533-position model. The record is from RNAcentral.
GUGGGGAAUAUUGCGCAAUGGGCGAAAGCCUGACGCAGCGACGCCGCGUGAGGGAUGAAGGUUUUCGGAUCGCAAACCUCUGUCAGAAGGGAAGAAACUACGUUGUGCUAAUCAGCAGCGUACUGACGGUACCUUCAAAGGAAGCACCGGCUAACUCCGUGCCAGCAGCCGCGGUAAUACGGAGGGUGCAAGCGUUAAUCGGAAUUACUGGGCGUAAAGCGCACGUAGGCUGUAGUGUAAGUCAGGGGUGAAAUCCCACGGCUCAACCGUGGAACUGCCUUUGAUACUGCACAACUUGAAUCCGGGAGGGGGUGGCGGAAUUCCAGGUGUAGGAGUGAAAUCCGUAGAUAUCUGGAGGAACAUCAGUGGCGAAGGCGGCCACCUGGACCGGUAUUGACGCUGAGGUACGAAAGCGUGGGGAGCAAACAGGAUUAGAUACCCCGGUAGUCC